UAAUAUGAUUAAUAUCAAUUUGUUUUAAAUUAUAUAUAAAAAUUAUCAAGAGUAUCAUUAACUUUAACCACUCUAAUUUUUAACGUGAGAGCUCUGUUGUGAAAAUUUACUUCACAAAUAAUAGUAUAGAUAAAUACGAAAAAAAGUUUCCCACCGUUAGAUUUCAGAUAUUGUUUUCGUGUGCCAAAAAAACGUUUUAAAAGCCAUUUUUUAAUCCAUCUAGAAAUCAUUGCGGCAUGGUAGCAACUUACGUUUAGAUUUAAAAUUUACAGAUUUCCACGCAUGGCCAGCAAAAAGAAAUUGUACUAAAUAGAAAAUAAUUAAUUAACAAAAAUAAUAAUUUUGAGAAACAAAAAAAAUAACACAAUGUACAGUAGAUAUGUUUAAGCAAACCAAUUCAUACUUUAUUGAAAUAGUAUAUAACCCAUAAUAUAAACCAUCAAAAUGAAAUUUAAUCAGGCACAACCAGAAAAUGUAACCAGAAAUAUAACUAUCUAAAUCAAAAUAAAAAUCAAGAAUUUCAUAUCCUUAUCAUGAUCCAUGAGUUUGAAUUAAACUCAUAAUUUUAUCGGAUUUCUAACAUUGUUAUUUAAACUAAACCAAAUUAGACUAGGAAUUUUAUUGAAUUUUUAACAUUACUAUUUAAACCAGCCCAAAAUAACAAAACUCAAACCACAUCCCAAUUCAUUAAUAACCUAGCUAUUAAUAUACUUCAUGAACUAAAAACCAAAAUUCACAACUGAAUCGGAACAAAAACAAAAUCAGUGAAUACAAUCUUGAUGUGAACCGAAAUUUAUAAAAUAUUAUCGAUUAUAAAAUCUGUAGUUUAAAAACGUAAAUCAUAAAUAAUUCAUUGUGCGAGUCAGAAUCUGGGAUUUAUUAUAGAGUUAUUUUCAUUCUAAGACACUUUAUGUCUUUUUAUUACAUUCUAAGACACUUAUUACUACGGAGGUAGUUUUUAGUGGUUAUUGACCCUCUUGCCCUCAACUAAGCGAAACUAGAUGAUGACUUUCGGUUUACUUUUUUUUUUCAGUUAGAAUAAUUUGAAUUUUGAAUUUGUUUAAAAUGGUGAAACCAAAACAAUAAUAAAUUUUUUAAUUUUCACGACAUUUUUUUUAACUACAAAUUCUUAUCUUCUUAUCACAAUUACCAAGACAAAGAAUGUAAACGCAGUUAUCGGCCGGAAACAAAAGUACGACGACGGAGACGUUGUUUGAUAAUAACAUCUCGUCUACUUGAUUCCUCUCUCGUCUACGCCAUAGCUCCUCCACGCCAAGCUCUAUGGUCUUCAAUUCUUGGUUCCACCUGUUGUAUACACCACAGCUCCUACUCGCCGUGCUAUCUGACCCUCCUCCGUGACCUGCUUCUCACCGCCGACUCACGUCUGCGCCAAUCUGCCAUGGCAAACUUCUCCACCAUGGGAUCUCCUAGUCGCUGCCUCAUCCGCCGUACAAGCAAUACCUCCACGUCGUUCCACCGCGCCCAGCUCCACCGCCGUUGCCAUCCAGAGUCGUCGUCACUCGGGUUCUCUGGAUCGAGAGCUCAGCGACAAUGGAUAAUUUUCUCAUAAUUUAACCAAUCAAAAGGUGCUUGUAAAGUUCAUGGAAAAUGCAGAUUGUUUUGAGUCCAGCUCAUGAUUGGUUAUCAGCUAAACGUUGUUGAUAGUAGUGGAAUCACUCUUAGCACUGUUCAAGAGGAGGUGAAGUUAAUGUGCCUCAAGUUCUAUGUAUAGCAAUAACUACUGCAAUUUCAAUACUUUUCUUUUUGAAUUAGUUGUGUACACUAUUUGCAAUUUUGAUACAUUUGAUAUUUCAGAAAGCAUCAUUAUUUUUGUAUGACACGUUUUCUUAGUCAAUAUCAAUUUACAUAUGAAUAAAUUA
Brassica napus (rape) is the source of this 1880-nucleotide long non-coding RNA. RefSeq lists it as uncharacterized. Lineage: Eukaryota; Viridiplantae; Streptophyta; Magnoliopsida; Brassicales; Brassicaceae. The record is from RefSeq and is a predicted model, not a curated record. The transcript has 2 exons.